Molecule: long non-coding RNA, 480 nt
Organism: Cicer arietinum (chickpea)
Lineage: Eukaryota; Viridiplantae; Streptophyta; Magnoliopsida; Fabales; Fabaceae
Source: RefSeq, a predicted model, not a curated record
UUUAAUAUUUAAUAAUUGAACAAAACAGAACAAUUUUUUUUACAUUAUAAAGUGAUCAAACAAUUAGCUAUUCUUACAUGCAAAAGGAGAUAAAAAGAAAUGGCUGAAAUUUUCAAGUUUUAUAAUUCUAUGAUCCUCCUUUUUCCACUGCUUCUUGUUGUAAUUGAUGCUUUUAAAAUGCCUUUAUGUCAUAAUGACUUUCAUUGUCCAAGUUAUUUGUGUAUGCCUCCUGAAGUUGCAAGGUGCAGUAGCGACUUAACUUGUCAUUGCGUGUAAGGAUGUUAUGGUGAAUUGUAAAGAGAGUCUUCAAUCUUAUGUGUAACAAGCAGAUCAAUAUGAACUUAACACUUUGUGAUCAUUUGGGUAUUUUGUAUUAUUGGAGGUACUCGUUGUUCUAUGUUUAAUGGUCCUAUUAGUUAAUUUGAAGUUUAAUGGUCCUAUUAGAUAAUGAUUACUUAACUUGAUUUGAUUUUCAAAAAA